AGUAAUGCCUGGGAAAUUGCCCUGAUGUGGGGGAUAACCAUUGGAAACGAUGGCUAAUACCGCAUAAUGUCUACGGACCAAAGAGGGGGACCUUCGGGCCUCUCGCUUCAGGAUAUGCCCAGGUGGGAUUAGCUAGUUGGUGAGGUAAUGGCUCACCAAGGCGACGAUCCCUAGCUGGUCUGAGAGGAUGAUCAGCCACACUGGAACUGAGACACGGUCCAG
This 222-nucleotide ribosomal RNA is filed under the name uncultured bacterium. Its description in RNAcentral is "partial 16S ribosomal RNA". It matches the Rfam family "Bacterial small subunit ribosomal RNA", at positions 109 to 334 of the family's 1533-position model. The record is from RNAcentral.